GUUAGCAGUGUGAUUAAUGUUAGAGUUAGACAUUAGGGUUAGCAGUGUGAUUAAUGUUAGAGUUAGACAUUAGGGUUAGCAGUGUGGUUAAUGUUAGAGUUAAGGUUAGGGUUAGCAGUGUGAUUAAUGUUAGAGUUAAGGUUAGGGUUAGCAGUGUGAUUAAUGUUAGAGUUAAGGUUAGGGUUAGCAGUGUGAUUAAUGUUAGAGUUAAGGUUAGGGUUAGCAGUGUGGUUAAUGUUAGAGUUAAGGUUAGGGUUAGCAGUGUGAUUAAUGUUAGAGUUAAGGUUAGGGUUAGCAGUGUGAUUAAUGUUAGAGUUAAGGUUAGGGUUAGCAGUGUGGUUAAUGUUAGAGUUAAGGUUAGGGUUAGCAGUGUGAUUAAUGUUAGAGUUAAGGUUAGGGUUAGCAGUGUGAUUAAUGUUAGAGUUAAGGUUAGGGUUAGCAGUGUGGUUAAUGUUAGAGUUAAGGUUAGGGUUAGCAGUGUGAUUAAUGUUAGAGUUAAGGUUAGGGUUAGCAGUGUGAUUAAUGUUAGAGUUAAGGUUAGGGUUAGCAGUGUGAUUAAUGUUAGAGUUAAGGUUAGGGUUAGCAGUGUGAUUAAUGUUAGAGUUAAGGUUAGGGUUAGCAGUGUGAUUAAUGUUAGAGUUAGACAUUAGGGUUAGCAGUGUGAUUAAUGUUAGAGUUAAGGUUAGGGUUAGCAGUGUGAUUAAUGUUAGAGUUAAGGUUAGGGUUAGCAGUGUGAUUAAUGUUAGAGUUAGACAUUAGGGUUAGCAGUGUGAUUAAUGUUAGAGUUAGACAUUAGGGUUAGCAGUGUGAUUAAUGUUAGAGUUAGACAUUAGGGUUAGCAGUGUGAUUAAUGUUAGAGUUAAGGUUAGGGUUAGCAGUGUGAUUAAUGUUAGAGUUAGACAUUAGGGUUAGCAGUGUGAUUAAUGUUAGAGUUAGACAUUAGGGUUAGCAGUGUGAUUAAUGUUAGAGUUAGACAUUAGGGUUAGCAGUGUGAUUAAUGUUAGAGUUAGACAUUAGGGUUAGCAGUGUGAUUAAUGUUAGAGUUAAGGUUAGGGUUAGCAGUGUGAUUAAUGUUAGAGUUAAGGUUAGGGUUAGCAGUGUGAUUAAUGUUAGAGUUAGACAUUAGGGUUAGCAGUGUGAUUAAUGUUAGAGUUAAGGUUAGGGUUAGCAGUGUGAUUAAUGUUAGAGUUAGACAUUAGGGUUAGCAGUGUGAUUAAUGUUAGAGUUAAGGUUAGGGUUAGCAGUGUGAUUAAUGUUAGAGUUAAGGAUAGGGUUAGCAGUGUGAUUAAUGUUAGAGUUAGACAUUAGGGUUAGCAGUGUGAUUAAUGUUAGA
Oncorhynchus keta (chum salmon) is the source of this 1333-nucleotide long non-coding RNA. RefSeq lists it as uncharacterized. NCBI's taxonomy places the organism in Eukaryota, Metazoa, Chordata, Actinopteri, Salmoniformes, Salmonidae. The transcript has 4 exons. The record is from RefSeq and is a predicted model, not a curated record.